RNAcentral lists this ribosomal RNA (497 nucleotides) under uncultured bacterium. RNAcentral's name for it is "partial 16S ribosomal RNA". It matches the Rfam family "Bacterial small subunit ribosomal RNA", at positions 28 to 507 of the family's 1533-position model. The record is from RNAcentral.
GACGAACGCUGGCGGCGUGCCUAAUACAUGCAAGUUGAGCGCUGAAGGUUGGUACUUGUACCAACUGGAUGAGCAGCGAACGGGUGAGUAACGCGUGGGGAAUCUGCCUUUGAGCGGGGGACAACAUUUGGAAACGAAUGCUAAUACCGCAUAAAAACUUUAAACACAAGGUUUAAGUUUGAAAGAUGCAAUUGCAUCACUCAAAGAUGAUCCCGCGUUGUAUUAGCUAGUUGGUGAGGUAAAGGCUCACCAAGGCGAUGAUACAUAGCCGACCUGAGAGGGUGAUCGGCCACAUUGGGACUGGGACACGGCCCAAACCCCUACGGGAGGCAGCAGUAGGGAAUCUUCGGCAAUGGACGAAAGUCUGACCGAGCAACGCCGCGUGAGUGAAGAAGGUUUUCGGAUCGUAAAACUCUGUUGGUAGGGAAGAACGUUGGGGAGAGUGGAAAGCUCAUCAAGUGACGGUAACUACCCAGAAAGGGACGGCUAACUACGUG